UUUUCCAAAAGAUGAUUUUACCACAACAAUUGAUUGAAUUUCAUUAUUGUUAUGAUGAAUUUUAAUUAAAAUUAUGAUUUAUAUUGUGUUUUGUAUGAAGAGUAUAUGUUGCUGAGAUUUGCAGUAAAUGGAUUCAUAUUGAGAUUUUAUACCCAUACAAAAGGAAAUAAAUUUAUGCUAUUGUUUUCAUAUCUCACGGCUAAUACUUGACAUGGUUAUUACCCGUCCCUCAUUUGUUGAGGUGAUACACUGGUGUUUGGAUGGAUGUGAUCUGGAUACCAUGA
Molecule: unclassified non-coding RNA, 284 nt
Filed under: Hevea brasiliensis (rubber tree)
Lineage: Eukaryota; Viridiplantae; Streptophyta; Magnoliopsida; Malpighiales; Euphorbiaceae
Source: RNAcentral